GGAGGGUCCAAGCGUUGUCCGGAUUUAUUGGGUGUAAAGGGUGUGUAGGCGGGCUUGCAAGUCAGAGGUGAAAUCCUACGGCUUAACCGUAGAACUGCCUUUGAUACUGCAGGUCUUGAGUCCUGGAGAGGUUGUUAGAAUUCGUGGUGUAGCGGUGAAAUGCGUAGAUAUCACGAGGAAUACCGGUUACGAAGGUUGACAGCUGGACAGGUACUGACGCUGAGGCACGAAAGCGUGGGGAGCAAACAGGAUUAGAUACCCUGGUAGUCCACGCCGUAAACGAUGAUCACUCGUGUCGCGGAGCAAUCUGCGGUGCCCAAGCAAACGCAUUAAGUGAUCCACCUGGGGAUACGAUCGCAAGGUUG
This 365-nucleotide ribosomal RNA is filed under the name uncultured organism. RNAcentral describes it as "partial 16S ribosomal RNA". It matches the Rfam family "Bacterial small subunit ribosomal RNA", at positions 527 to 896 of the family's 1533-position model. The record is from RNAcentral.